RNAcentral lists this transfer RNA (65 nucleotides) under Bradysia odoriphaga. RNAcentral's name for it is "tRNA-Thr". RNAcentral also lists the same sequence under 1 other name. The record is from RNAcentral. Lineage: Eukaryota; Metazoa; Arthropoda; Insecta; Diptera; Sciaridae.
GUUUUAAUAAUUUAAUAAAAAUAUUGGUUUUGUAAACCAAAUUUAAGACUUUGUCUUUUAAAACU